CUACCAGACUCCUACGGGAGGCAGCAGUGGGGAAUAUUGCACAAUGGGCGCAAGCCUGAUGCAGCCAUGCCGCGUGUAUGAAGAAGGCCUUCGGGUUGUAAGUUACUUUCAGCGGGGAGGAAGGCGAUAAGGUUAAUAACCUUGUCGAUUGACGUUACCCGCAGAAGAAGCACCGGCUAACUCCGUGCCAGCAGCCGCGGAAAUACGGAGGGUGAAAGCGUUAAUCGGAAUUACUGGGCGUAAAGCGCACGCAGGCGGUCUGUCAAGUCGGAUGUGAAAUCCCCGGGCUCAACCUGGGAACUGCAUUCGAAACUGGCAGGCUGGAGUCUUGUAGAGGGGGGUAGAAUUCCAGGUGUAGCGGUGAAAUGCGUAGAGAUCGGGAGGAAUACCGGUGGCGAAGGCGGCCCCCUGGACAAAGACUGACGCUCAGGUGCGAAAGCGUGGGGAGCCAACAGGAUUAGAUCCCCGCGUA
This 472-nucleotide ribosomal RNA is filed under the name uncultured bacterium. RNAcentral's name for it is "bacterial SSU rRNA". It matches the Rfam family "Bacterial small subunit ribosomal RNA", at positions 328 to 792 of the family's 1533-position model. The record is from RNAcentral.